This 467-nucleotide ribosomal RNA is filed under the name uncultured bacterium. RNAcentral describes it as "partial 16S ribosomal RNA". It matches the Rfam family "Bacterial small subunit ribosomal RNA", at positions 28 to 506 of the family's 1533-position model. The record is from RNAcentral.
GACGAACGCUGGCGGCGUGCUUAACACAUGCAAGUCGAACGGAAAGGCCCUGCUUUUGUGGGGUGCUCGAGUGGCGAACGGGUGAGUAACACGUGAGUAACCUGCCCUUGACUUUGGGAUAACUUCAGGAAACUGGGGCUAAUACCGGAUAGGAGCUCCUGCUGCAUGGUGGGGGUUGGAAAGUUUCGGCGGUUGGGGAUGGACUCGCGGCUUAUCAGCUUGUUGGUGGGGUAGUGGCUUACCAAGGCUUUGACGGGUAGCCGGCCUGAGAGGGUGACCGGCCACAUUGGGACUGAGAUACGGCCCAGACUCCUACGGGAGGCAGCAGUGGGGAAUAUUGAACAAUGGGCGGAAGCCUGAUGCAGCAACGCCGCGUGCGGGAUGACGGCCUUCGGGUGGUAAACCGCUUUCGCCUGUGACGAAGCGUGAGUGACGGUAAUGGGUAAAGAAGCACCGGCUAACUACGU